RNAcentral lists this ribosomal RNA (497 nucleotides) under uncultured bacterium. Its description in RNAcentral is "partial 16S ribosomal RNA". It matches the Rfam family "Bacterial small subunit ribosomal RNA", at positions 28 to 507 of the family's 1533-position model. The record is from RNAcentral.
GACGAACGCUGGCGGCGUGCCUAAUACAUGCAAGUAGAACGCUGAAGAGAGGAGCUUGCUCUUCUUGGAUGAGUUGCGAACGGGUGAGUAACGCGUAGGUAACCUGCCUGGUAGCGGGGGAUAACUAUUGGAAACGAUAGCUAAUACCGCAUAAAAUUGAUUAUUGCAUGAUAAUUAAUUGAAAGAUGCAACUGCAUCACUACCAGAUGGACCUGCGUUGUAUUAGCUAGUUGGUGAGGUAACGGCUCACCAAGGCGACGAUACAUAGCCGACCUGAGAGGGUGAUCGGCCACACUGGGACUGAGACACGGCCCAGACUCCUACGGGAGGCAGCAGUAGGGAAUCUUCGGCAAUGGGGGGAACCCUGACCGAGCAACGCCGCGUGAGUGAAGAAGGUUUUCGGAUCGUAAAGCUCUGUUGUAAGAGAAGAACGGGUGUGAGAGUGGAAAGUUCACACUGUGACGGUAUCUUACCAGAAGGGGACGGCUAACUACGUG